CAACUUCUGUGCACUUUUCAUAGGCCGGCUUGUGGGUCGUUCGCGGCUCGUAGGNGUCGGGCUUAUGCUUUACUACAAACGAUUCAGUUUUAGAAUGUCAUACUUUGCUAUAACGCAAUUAUAUA
RNAcentral lists this ribosomal RNA (125 nucleotides) under Trichaptum abietinum. RNAcentral's name for it is "Hirschioporus abietinus 5.8S ribosomal RNA". The record is from RNAcentral. Lineage: Eukaryota; Fungi; Basidiomycota; Agaricomycetes; Hymenochaetales; Trichaptaceae.